UUCCAAAAAACUCAACAGAGGAACAAAUUGCCUGAGCUUCAAAAUGCAUGCAUUCAGAUAUGACUACAAAUUCCACAAGACUUGGUCAUGAAAAAUCUCUUAUCAUCUGCUCUGAUGGACAGAUGCAAGGGACAAAAAAAGCUGCAAGAGACUCAAGUUCCAUUGGAGUAAGUCAGAUGUGAUCCAUCACACCAGGAUCUGCAUGAUUUCUACUUCUCUCAUACUCUCAGAAAACUUGAAAUGUCCUUUGAGUCUCAGCUGGAAAGC
Molecule: long non-coding RNA, 267 nt
Organism: Camarhynchus parvulus
Lineage: Eukaryota; Metazoa; Chordata; Aves; Passeriformes; Thraupidae
Exons: 3
Source: RefSeq, a predicted model, not a curated record